Long non-coding RNA from Mastomys coucha (southern multimammate mouse), 304 nucleotides. RefSeq lists it as uncharacterized. Lineage: Eukaryota; Metazoa; Chordata; Mammalia; Rodentia; Muridae. The transcript is spliced from 2 exons. The record is from RefSeq and is a predicted model, not a curated record.
UGUCUUUAUUUAUCUUAUAAAAUUAUGUCGAAUUCAGGCUGGUUAGUGUUGCCAUGGUGAUUCCAUGCACAUACACAGUUGCCUUCUAAGAACCUUUCUUAGCUCAGUGCUUCUAAGGCCAUAAACUGUAAGGCUGCUGGUGCUCCAGCCAUCAUGGCCAGGUUUUCGCAUAAUGAGGGUCAAGAUGUAUGAUAAUGAACUUGGAGGUGGAAGAUGCUAAUACCAUAAAAGCUCAGAAUGAAGAAAACUGAAAAUGGCUUCAUUUACAGUGGGCAAUAAAUGCCAAAUAAAAGGAAACCAGGAU